Molecule: ribosomal RNA, 860 nt
Filed under: bacterium 0%86DO
Lineage: Bacteria
Description: bacterial SSU rRNA
Rfam family: Bacterial small subunit ribosomal RNA
Source: RNAcentral
GUCGAACGGAAAGGCCCUUCGGGGUACUCGAGUGGCGAACGGGUGAGUAACACGUGGGUGAUCUGCCCUGCACUUUGGGAUAAGCCUGGGAAACUGGGUCUAAUACCGAAUAUGACCAUGCACUUCCUGGUGUGUGGUGGAAAGCUUUUGCGGUGUGGGAUGGGCCCGCGGCCUAUCAGCUUGUUGGUGGGGUAAUGGCCUACCAAGGCGACGACGGGUAGCCGGCCUGAGAGGGUGACCGGCCACACUGGGACUGAGAUACGGCCCAGACUCCUACGGGAGGCAGCAGUGGGGAAUAUUGCACAAUGGGCGCAAGCCUGAUGCAGCGACGCCGCGUGAGGGAUGACGGCCUUCGGGUUGUAAACCUCUUUCAGCACAGACGAAGCGCAAGUGACGGUAUGUGCAGAAGAAGGACCGGCCAACUACGUGCCAGCAGCCGCGGUAAUACGUAGGGUCCGAGCGUUGUCCGGAAUUACUGGGCGUAAAGAGCUCGUAGGUGGUUUGUCGCGUUGUUCGUGAAAACUCACAGCUUAACUGUGGGCGUGCGGGCGAUACGGGCAGACUUGAGUACUGCAGGGGAGACUGGAAUUCCUGGUGUAGCGGUGGAAUGCGCAGAUAUCAGGAGGAACACCGGUGGCGAAGGCGGGUCUCUGGGCAGUAACUGACGCUGAGGAGCGAAAGCGUGGGGAGCGAACAGGAUUAGAUACCCUGGUAGUCCACGCCGUAAACGGUGGGUACUAGGUGUGGGUUUCCUUCCUUGGGAUCCGUGCCGUAGCUAACGCAUUAAGUACCCCGCCUGGGGAGUACGGCCGCAAGGCUAAAACUCAAARAAAUUGACGGGGGCCCGCMCAAGCGGCGGA